This is a long non-coding RNA of Clupea harengus (Atlantic herring), 611 nucleotides long. RefSeq lists it as uncharacterized. The record is from RefSeq and is a predicted model, not a curated record. Lineage: Eukaryota; Metazoa; Chordata; Actinopteri; Clupeiformes; Clupeidae.
ACCACAGUGGCCCCAAAUGCACAAAUAACUGCAAAAAGACUACGCCAUGAGCUGGAGAUGGCCAAACAAAAAGUGGCAGCAGGAGAUGCUCAAGGAAGUGACCAAGGAGAGAGACUUUCUAAGGGAACAACUGGCUAUGACAAUAAAAUAGGACAAGGGCGUUCCAUCAGAGGACAGCACAAGUCCCUUACAGCAAACCACUUCCGCCGCUUCAGCUACUUUCUCUUCUGAUUCCUCCCACUCGUCACCCAACUCUUCAUAUGACUCUUCCUCCACGGAUGAGGGAUGGAAGAAGAAAAAGAAGAACAGUAAAACAGUAAAGAGACGUAAGCAGGGGAAACGGGGAAAGGAGCAAAGUGUUCACCAGAGAGCUCGAGAUCCUGAAGUGGUGGCCCGAUACCGAAAGGUGUUGAAAAUCUGCCAGGAGGGAAGGACCAUGGGGGCUGCUUUCAGAGCUGUGGGUGUUGACCGCAACACUAUUGUCGUGAAUGCCCCAAUGGCAGAACUUUGCAUUGCUGCCCCAGAAACAUUUGCAGAGCUCAGAGAGAGGUGCUCCAAGAAGGAGAAGCUCAGUUGUUUUACACAAAGGUGUAAAGAUGCCAUUGAGGGUG